CGAAACUAUUUGAUAAAUUUAUCUUUAGAUUGGAUCUUAUGAAUAAAAAGGGCUUUUUUCAAAAAGGGAUUUAUAGCAUAGAUAUUAUUAUCGGAAAUAGUCUAUAGCUUAUAAAGGAGGGAGGAUUUCAGAAUAAUAUUAUAUAGGUAAAUUCUAUAUUUAGGUUAUAGUGUAUAUUGUAAUUGUAAAAAAUUUAAGAUGAGAAGUUUCUAAAAUUUAAAAGUGUUUUUACUUUUAAUAAUGUACUAAUUAAUCACUUAUAAAAUUUCUUCUAUAAUAACUAGUAUGAGAUUAUGCUGGAAUUAGUAAAUGAAUGGAGAUAUAAUAACUAAUUUCUAGCUCCAACUGUUUAGCAAAAACAUUUCCUUUACGAAUAUAUUAAAGGUAAAGCCUGCUCAGUGAUAGUAAUAUAAUAAAUAGCCGCGGUAUUUUAACUGCGCGAAGGUAGCAUAAUUAAUUGUCUUUUAAUUGGUGACUUGUUUGAAUGGCUUAAUGAGGGUUAAAUUUUCUUUAUUUUCUUUUGAAUUUAUUAUCUUGGGUUAAAAAACCUAGAUUGGUCAAAAAGAAGAGAAGACCCUGAUGAGUUUUACAAUCAUCAUUGUUUGAAUGGGGCUUUACAAUUUUUUAUAUAUUUUGUGUCAGAUCCUACCUUGAGGAAAAAGGACAAAAUUACCACAGGGAUAACAGGACAAAACUUGUUGAGAGUACAUAUCUAAGCAAGGAACUGUUACUUCGAUGUUGAAUCAAAGUAAACUUUUAGGCGCAGAAGUUUUUGGAGUGGGUCUGUUCGACCUUUGAUACUUUAC
This 806-nucleotide ribosomal RNA is filed under the name Pseudoceros bimarginatus. RNAcentral describes it as "LSU rRNA". The stretch from base 531 to 806 matches the Rfam family "Bacterial large subunit ribosomal RNA", at positions 2045 to 2599 of the family's 2925-position model. The record is from RNAcentral. Lineage: Eukaryota; Metazoa; Platyhelminthes; Polycladida; Pseudocerotidae.